AUGGGGUUGUUGUCGUCCGCCGUGAGGAAAUGUAACAGCAAGAUGCUCCUCGGCGGCGGCUCUUCAUCUCCGUGUGGUGUGCGCGGCAAGGAACAACCAUUGACGCCCAGCAAGCACAAGCGGUCGAGGAAGAAGCGCUUCUGGAGGAAGAAGAAGUCCAGCAAGAAGUUCGGCUGCGUCCCCUGCGUCAGCCUCACCGAGCUCACCAGGCGCGCCGAGUGCGAGGCCAUCGCCGACCUCGUCAACAACAUCUCGGCCAAGUCAGACGUUACCAGCCACAUGUACGCGGCCGAGGAGAUCCUGCGGAUCACCAACCAUAACAUCCCCAGUAGAGUGCUCACCUUCCGUGAGUUGUCCGCGGCGACCAACAACUUCAGCUGCGAUAACCUUGUGGGCGAGGGCGGCUUCGGGAUGGUGUACAAGGGGCACUUCAAGGACACCAAGGAGGAUAUCGCCGUGAAGCGGCUCGACAAGGAAGGGUUCCAGGGGAACCGCGAGUUCCUGGUGGAGGUGCUGAUGCUGAGCCUCCUGAGCCACCCCAACCUCGUGAAUCUGAUCGGCUACAGCACCGACCUCGACCAGCGGAUCCUCGUCUACGAGUACAUGCCCAACGGCUCGCUGGAGGAUCAUCUCCUAGAUCUCCCGGAGAACGCCAAGGCGCUCCCCUGGCAGACGCGGAUGAGGAUCGCGGUGGGCGCGGCCAAGGGCAUCGAGUACCUGCACGAGGUGGCCAACCCGCCGGUCAUCUACCGGGACCUCAAGGCCUCCAACAUCCUCCUGGACAAGGACUUCAACUCCAAGCUCUCCGACUUCGGGCUCGCCAAGCUCGGCCCCCUCGGCGACGAGAGCCACGUCAGCACCAGGGUGAUGGGCACCUACGGCUACUGCGCCCCCGAGUACGCCAUGACCGGCAAGCUCACCAAGAUGUCCGACAUCUACAGCUUCGGCGUCGUGCUGCUCGAGCUCAUCACCGGCAGGCGGGCCAUCGACCCCACCAAGCCCACGGAGGAGCAGGUUCUCAUCCACUGGGCGGCGCCUCUGAUCAGGGACAGGAAAAUGUUCGUGAGGCUGGCGGAUCCGUUGCUGGGGAAGGACUUCCCGGUGAAGGGGCUGUACCAGGCGCUCGCCAUCGCCUCCAUGUGCAUGCAGGAGGAUCCCAGCAAGAGGCCCAAGAUCGGCGACGUCGUGGACGCGCUCACCUUCCUCGCUGAACAGAAGUACUAUCCUCAACGAGACCGGGAAGCUGCUCAGGCGAAGGGCGGGGACUGCAGCACUCCUCGCAAAAAGGACAUGGUUUCUGAGAUCAAAGCCGAUGAUGACAUGAAGCAGCGAUGA
This 1335-nucleotide ribosomal RNA is filed under the name Triticum aestivum (bread wheat). RNAcentral describes it as "partial small subunit ribosomal RNA". Lineage: Eukaryota; Viridiplantae; Streptophyta; Magnoliopsida; Poales; Poaceae. The record is from RNAcentral.